RNAcentral lists this ribosomal RNA (465 nucleotides) under uncultured bacterium. RNAcentral's name for it is "partial 16S ribosomal RNA". It matches the Rfam family "Bacterial small subunit ribosomal RNA", at positions 28 to 507 of the family's 1533-position model. The record is from RNAcentral.
GACGAACGCUGGCGGCGUGCUUAACACAUGCAAGUCGUACGGUAAGGCCCUUUCGGGGGUACACGAGUGGCGAACGGGUGAGUAACACGUGAGUAACCUGCCCACAACUUUGGGAUAACGCUAGGAAACUGGUGCUAAUACUGGAUAUGUGCUCCUGCUGCAUGGUGGGGGUUGGAAAGCUCCGGCGGUUGUGGAUGGACUCGCGGCCUAUCAGCUUGUUGGUGGGGUAGUGGCCUACCAAGGCGGCGACGGGUAGCCGGCCUGAGAGGGUGACCGGCCACAUUGGGACGGAGGUACGGCCCAGACUCCUACGGGAGGCAGCAGUGGGGAAUAUUGCACAAUGGGCGCAAGCCUGAUGCAGCAACGCCGCGGGCGGGAUGACGGCCUUCGGGUUGUAAACCGCUUUCAGCAGGGACGAAGCUUUUUGUGACGGUACCUGCAGAAGAAGCACCGGCUAACUACGUG